RNAcentral lists this ribosomal RNA (459 nucleotides) under uncultured bacterium. Its description in RNAcentral is "partial 16S ribosomal RNA". It matches the Rfam family "Bacterial small subunit ribosomal RNA", at positions 338 to 795 of the family's 1533-position model. The record is from RNAcentral.
CCUACGGGCGGCAGCAGUGAGGAAUAUUGGUCAAUGGGCGCGAGCCUGAACCAGCCAAGUAGCGUGAAGGAUGACUGCCCUACGGGUUGUAAACUUCUUUUAUAAAGGAAUAAAGUGAGGCACGUGUGCCUUUUUGUAUGUACUUUAUGAAUAAGGAUCGGCUAACUCCGUGCCAGCAGCCGCGGUAAUACGGAGGAUCCGAGCGUUAUCGGGAUUUAUUGGGUUUAAAGGGAGCGUAGAUGGGUUGUUAAGUCAGAGGUAAAAGCCCGGGGCUCAACCCCGGCGAGCCGUUGAAACUGGCUGUCUUGAGAUGUCGAGAGGUAUGCGGAAUGCGAGGUGUAGCGGUGAAAUGCUUAGAUAUUGCGCAGAACUCCGAUGGCGAAGGCAGCAUACCGGCGGCGGUCUGACGCUGAGGCACGAAAGCGUGGGUAUCGAACAGGAUUAGAUACCCGUGUAGUC